Molecule: transfer RNA, 75 nt
Filed under: Bacteroidota bacterium
Lineage: Bacteria; Pseudomonadati; Bacteroidota
Description: tRNA-Ala
Rfam family: tRNA
About the family: Transfer RNA (tRNA) molecules are approximately 80 nucleotides in length. Their secondary structure includes four short double-helical elements and three loops (D, anti-codon, and T loops).
Source: RNAcentral
GGGGGUAUAGCUCAGUUGGCUAGAGUACUUGCAUGGCAUGCAAGGGGUCAUGGGUUCGAAUCCCAUUAUCUCCAC